AACGAACGCUGGCGGCAGGCUUAACACAUGCAAGUCGAACGCCACCUUCGGGUGGAGUGGCAGACGGGUGAGUAACGCGUGGGAACGUACCUUUCGGUUGGGAAUAUUCUCGGGAAACUGAAGGCAAUACAAAAUACGCCCUAUGGGGGAAAGAUUUAUUGCGGAACGAUGGGCCCGCGUAAGAUUAGGUAGUUGGUAGGGUAAUGGCCUACCAAGCCUACGACCUAUAGCUGGUCUGAGAGGAUGAUCAGCCACAUUGGGACUGAGACACGGCCCAAACUCCUACGGGAGGCAGCAGUGGGGAAUAUUGGACAGUGGGCGCAAGCCUGAUCCAGCCAUGCCGCGUGAAUGAUGUAGGCCUUAGGGUUGUAAAAUUCUUUCAACGGUGACGAUAAUGACGGUAACCGUAGAAGGAGCCCCGGCUAACUUCGUGCCAGCAGCCGCAGUAA
This 449-nucleotide ribosomal RNA is filed under the name uncultured bacterium. Its description in RNAcentral is "partial 16S ribosomal RNA". It matches the Rfam family "Bacterial small subunit ribosomal RNA", at positions 29 to 523 of the family's 1533-position model. The record is from RNAcentral.